This 496-nucleotide ribosomal RNA is filed under the name uncultured Sphingobacteriales bacterium. RNAcentral's name for it is "bacterial SSU rRNA". It matches the Rfam family "Bacterial small subunit ribosomal RNA", at positions 882 to 1382 of the family's 1533-position model. Lineage: Bacteria; Pseudomonadati; Bacteroidota; Sphingobacteriia; Sphingobacteriales. The record is from RNAcentral.
ACGCCGCCUCAGAAACUCAAAGGAAUUGACGGGGCCCGCACAAGCGGUGGAGCAUGUGGUUUAAUUCGAUGAUACGCGAGGAACCUUACCUGGGCUCGAACGUAAGAUGACUGUAGGUGAAAGCUUACAUCUCUUCGGAGCAUUUUACGAGGUGCUGCAUGGUUGUCGUCAGCUCGUGCCGUGAGGUGUCGGGUUAAGUCCCAUAACGAGCGCAACCCCUACCUUUAGUUGCCAUCAGGUAACGCUGGGGACUCUAAAGGAACUGCCUACGCAAGUAGUGAGGAAGGCGGGGAUGACGUCAAAUCAGCACGGCCCUUACGUCCAGGGCUACACACGUGCUACAAUGGCCGAUACAGAGGGCAGCUACCUGGUGACAGGAUGCAAAUCUCCAAAGUCGGUCUCAGUUCGGAUCGGAGUCUGCAACCCGACUCCGUGAAGUUGGAUUCGCUAGUAAUCGCGCAUCAGCCAUGGCGCGGUGAAUACGUUCCCGGGCCUU